AAAUGCAAAGUAAUAUUUGCACUUUCUUUUGCAUGAUUAUUUGUUAGAAUCUAUAAAGAAUAAAAAAAUCAUCCAAAAAAUCACAGUACUCUUAAAAAUACAUGGAUAUGGAAGGGCUACCAAGAGAGAUCAGCCACAGGACUUUGCUCUUUACCCUUGGUACAAGCGUCUGGUUCUCUGGCCCAUGGCGUGUUUAGACACAGAAGCAUAAAGGGUUAUGCAUUUUGACACUCCAUCUGGCAUUGAGAUCCUUCACAGAGCUCACAGUAGAACAAAUAGCCUGUCUCUUUAGAAGCUGAAAGUUUUGAAUAAUCUGUCUUCUCCAACCAUUUGGAGAUUUGUUCCCUGUCCUCCUAAUGAUAGUGAGCCCUCAAGAGCAGCACGUGUGAUUGGAUCCUUGGGAUGUGUGAGGGCACAUGUCUCUUCCUCUGAUAACCUUGAGAGUGCCAGCCUACCUCGGAGCACGUGGAAAAAGCAUAAAACCCAGAGGACUUGAAGAGGCUGUCAGCUAGGAAUACACUGUUAGGAUAGAUGGAACAGUUCCUAUUUAUGCAUAAUGGAAGUUAUUUCUUAACAAAUGCUGAAUGUUUAUUAGCUAUCAAAGAAAAAUUUGUUUUAUAAUCUUUAUUUCUGAGUUGUUGAUAUGUAUGAAUGGCAAAGUGAAGUCUUUGAUCACUAUUUUCUUAUUAUGGUAUCAAAAUAUAUGGCAUGGAUAAUGUUCAGAAUAUUCCAAAUAUUUUUUUUAAUUCAUUAAGUUUUAAGGCAUUAGUCAGCUAUUCAAUUUCCUAAGUUGCAGUUUGGGAUAUUUUAUGACAUACAUUAAUGAUUUUAAUUUUACUUAUUACCCUUUUCACCUUUGUCCAUUGAGCUGGUAAUAGCAUCAAACCAUUAUUGCAAUAUUUUUUGCAGAAACUUUAAGGAUUUCAAUAACAAAAUUGCUUAUAAAAAUGUUAUAUGUAGCUUACUUCUCAUUUUAAAAAUUAAAUUUUUGAAGGUUUCCUUAUUGUUAUAGGUAAUAAAAAUCAGUUUGUCUUUUUAUGAGUUUUAUAUUAUAACCAUUUGCCAAUAAAAUACAGAAUGAGCUUUCUCAGAUUUUAGGUG
Long non-coding RNA from Bubalus bubalis (water buffalo), 1101 nucleotides. RefSeq lists it as uncharacterized. Lineage: Eukaryota; Metazoa; Chordata; Mammalia; Artiodactyla; Bovidae. The transcript is spliced from 2 exons. The record is from RefSeq and is a predicted model, not a curated record.